This 257-nucleotide ribosomal RNA is filed under the name uncultured bacterium. RNAcentral describes it as "partial 16S ribosomal RNA". It matches the Rfam family "Bacterial small subunit ribosomal RNA", at positions 524 to 776 of the family's 1533-position model. The record is from RNAcentral.
UACAGAGGUCUCGAGCGUUGUUCGGAUUCAUUGGGCGUAAAGGGUGCGUAGGUGGCGUGGUAAGUCUGGUGUGAAAAUCCCGGGGGCUCAACCCCCGGAACUGCACUGGAUACUGCCAUGCUUGAGUACUGGAGAGGAGAUUGGAAUUUACGGUGUAGCAGUGAAAUGCGUAGAUAUCGUAAGGAAGACCAGUGGCGAAGGCGAAUCUCUGGACAGUUACUGACACUGAGGCACGAAGGCCAGGGGGAGCAAACGGG